CCCUGUGGCUGCCGAGUUCUCGGGAACAGCGGCUCGGCCUGCAAGGCUGUUGUUUCAAGAAAUGAAAAUGAAGGGCGCCCUGGAAUAGGUUCGCCGAAGAGAGAGCUUGCAGGCCUCUGGGAAGCAAGCCAUCGUGUGGCAGAGGCCCAGGUGGCAAGGAACCAAGGGCGGCUUCUGGCCAACAGCCAGCGAGGACCUGAGACCGUAGCCCAACACCCCUCCAGGAACUGAAUUUUGCCAGCAACCAGUGAGUGACCUUGGAAGUGGAUCCUUCCCCCGAAAGCCCGGCUUUCAGCUCAGAGAAUGGAAAAAUAUCUCUUCCUAAAGACACAGAGAAACAUAAACAAACCUGACCAAUAGAAGGACCAAAACCUCUGCACAGUGCCUCACCCCUCGGAGGAAUUAACAAAAAUGUGAAGGUUAUUCGUUGAACCAAUAAUCUCUGAAAUUUUUGGAGUUCCAUGAAGCUUGCACCAACUAUUAUCCCUGAGAUGACCUUGGCUGUGGAACCCAGAUUCUGUUCAGGGCCGAGAGCGCCACCUGGUGAUUCCAGUUUACGGAGGCUGGUGGGACCUCAACCCCAGCUGGUAUCCAGGCUCUUGACACCAUCUGGAGAAGGAAUUCAAGAGUGUGUCAGAAAAUGAUGAAAGUACAAAGAUUUAUUGCAAAGCGAAAAAUACACACUCAAGAAAGGGGAGUAUGGGUGGACUCAAGACAGAGUCCGAUGGGACUUGGGGUUUCUACCUUUUGGGUUUCUUUUUUUUUUUUUUUUGAUAUGGAGUCUCGCACUGUUGCCCAGGCUGGAGCGCAGUGGCGUGAUUUUGGCUCACUGCAACCUCUGCCUCCCGGGUUAAAACGAUUCUCCUGCCUCAGCGUCCCAAGUAGCUGGGAUUACAGGCUCCCACCACCAUGCCCGGCUAAUUUUUGUAUUUUUAGUAGAGACGAGGCCUCACCAUAUUGGCCAGGCUGUUCUCGAACUCCGGACCUUAGGUGAUCUGCCUGCCUCAGCCUCCCAAAGUGCUGGGAUUACAGGCGUGAGCCACCAUGCCCAAUGGGUGUGGGAUUUAGUAUAUUAAUGAGUGUAUAAUGAGGUCCUUGGUGAAACCUACAUCAAAUCCAGCACCGUGUUGGGUCCAGUCUGUCUUAGCCAGCUUGGUCCACACCCUGGUUUUUUAGGGUCUUAUUGGCCCCUUACUUCUGCAGCAAAAGUUUCCUUUUGCUAGUCAUGUGAAACUGCCACCUGGAAUUUUCUAUUCUCUAGUGACCACCCUGUAUUAUUCCUGUCUCACUGGGACCCUAAGAAAUUGGGAAUUCCAACUACACAUCCAAAAUAGUUUGACUAAAACUGUUGAAAAAAGAAAAAAAUAAUGGCAUAAAGUAUUGCUUGACUAAAUUCCAGCCAGGUGCAUUGGCCACUUUAGGUCGGGUGUGGUGGCUCAUGCUUGUAAUCCCAGCAUUUUGGGAGGCUGAGGCGGGAGGAUCACUUGAGGUCAGGAGUUCCAAACCAGUCUGGCCAAAAUGGUAAAACCCCCUCUCUACUAAAAAUACAAAAAUUAGCCGGACCUGGUGGCGGAAGCCUGUAAUCCCAGCUACUCUGGAGGCUGAGGCACGAAAAUUGCUUGAACCCAGGAGGUGGAGGUUGCAUUGAACCAAGAUCAUACCACUGCACUCUAGCCUGUGUGACAGAGAAAGAUUCCGUCUCAAGAAACAAAAA
RNAcentral lists this long non-coding RNA (1714 nucleotides) under Homo sapiens (human). RNAcentral's name for it is "HSALNT0370803". The record is from RNAcentral. Lineage: Eukaryota; Metazoa; Chordata; Mammalia; Primates; Hominidae.